This 47-nucleotide ribosomal RNA is filed under the name Ditylum brightwellii. RNAcentral describes it as "partial Bacterial small subunit ribosomal RNA". The record is from RNAcentral. Lineage: Eukaryota; Bacillariophyta; Thalassiosirophyceae; Lithodesmiales; Lithodesmiaceae.
GUCGGAACAAGGUAACCGUACUGAAGGUGCGGUUGGAUCACCUCCUU